GUGAUAAUGAGGAGAAAAUGUCCCACCCUGUUCUGGGCCUGGCUAGUUCAAAGCAGGACCACAGGGACAAGACUGUACCUGGCUGUUUUAAGAGCUUUCUUCAUUUGGGAAGCAGCAUGAUGAAAAUUCAUCAUCAUAAUGGAGAGGAGGCUGCGGCAGCAGUGAAGAUGAAGAGCCUGAGGAGGACGCUGAGUGGCUAAAGGAGUGAACACUAAAGAAGGUCAGGGAAAGGAGUGAUAAACCUUCUCCAAGUGGAAAUGAGCGAUUUGUAAUUUGCCUCCUCCAGGCUGAGGCCUUGCUUAAGGAGAUGGCUCACAGGAGAAGGAGCCACGUGGGAUCAGACAUUUCUGGGACACCAUCUGAGGCACGGAAUUACAGAAUUACCUGGAUAUCCACCUCUUCCUCUUCGGCUUUUGCAUCUUCUCUGUGUAUCCUAAACAGUGUCUGGUGAUUUGGCAGACACUGAGAGUUCCUACCCAAUGUCAUCCUCACUUCCUCCUUGUAACCAAACCCCAAGUUUUUUCUGGGGUGACAUAGCCCAAGGGGGUAGACUAUGAUUCAUUUAAGCCAAAUUAACAAUCCUCUUCCCAUUUUUCUCAGCUUUCCUUGCCGCUGUGAAAGACUGUGUAACUUAGGUUUGGCCAGUGAGAUGUAAGGGGAAAUACUGCUGAGGUUGUGUUUGUCAGAAUUUGCUAUGCUGCAGUAACAAAUUACCCCAUCUCAGUGACUUAACACAACAAAACUUUAUUCUUCUUUCACAUUAUAAUUGCAAUGCAAUCAGUGGGGACACUACUCCACACUCACCAGGGAGCCCAGGCUUAUGAAGUCUUUGGCAUGUUAGAAUGGAACAAUCUA
This is a long non-coding RNA of Lontra canadensis (Northern American river otter), 855 nucleotides long. RefSeq lists it as uncharacterized. The transcript is spliced from 4 exons. The record is from RefSeq and is a predicted model, not a curated record. NCBI's taxonomy places the organism in Eukaryota, Metazoa, Chordata, Mammalia, Carnivora, Mustelidae.